This 795-nucleotide ribosomal RNA is filed under the name uncultured euryarchaeote. RNAcentral describes it as "bacterial SSU rRNA". It matches the Rfam family "Archaeal small subunit ribosomal RNA", at positions 85 to 879 of the family's 1478-position model. Lineage: Archaea; Methanobacteriati; Methanobacteriota. The record is from RNAcentral.
ACGGCUCAGUAACACGUGGCCAAACUACCCUACAGACGGGAACAACCUCGGGAAACUGAGGCUAACACCUGAUACGCGUUGCACGUUUGAAUACGGCGACGCUCAAACGCUUCGGCGCUGUAGGAUGUGGCUGCGGCCGAUUAGGUAGACGGUGGGGUAAUGGCCCACCGUGCCGAUAAUCGGUACGGGUUGUGAGAGCAAGGGCCCGGAGACGGAAUCUGAGACAAGAUUCCGGGCCCUACGGGGCGCAGCAGGCGCGAAACCUUUACACUGCACGCCAGUGCGAUAAGGGGACCCCGAGUGAAAGGGCAUAUCGCCCUUUCUUUUCUAGAUUGUAGGGAGAUCCAGGAACAAGAGCUGGGCAAGACCGGUGCCAGCCGCCGCGGUAAUACCGGCAGCUCAAGUGAUGACCGAUUUUAUUGGGCCUAAAGCGUCCGUAGCUGGCCGCGCAAGUCUGUCGGGAAAUCCACCCGCUCAACGGGUGGGCGUCCGGCGGAAACUGUGCGGCUUGGGACAGGAAGGCUCGAGGGGUACGUUCGGGGUAGGAGUGAAAUCCCGUAAUCCUGAACGGACCACCGAUGGCGAAAGCACCUCGAGAGGACUGAUCCGACAGUGAGGGACGAAAGCUGGGGUCUCGAACCGGAUUAGAUACCCGGGUAGUCCCAGCCGUAAACGAUGUUCGCUAGGUGUGACACUCACUACGAGUGAGUGUUGUGCCGCAGGGAAGCCGCUAAGCGAACCGCCUGGGAAGUACGUCCGCAAGGAUGAAACUUAAAGGAAUUGGCGGGGGAGCAC